CAGCAGAGGGAGCUAAAAUGAAUGAGCUGAGGUUGCUGCCGUCAUCAUCAAUGCUUCCAACGCACAAGGAUUUGAAAACCAGACACAUCACCUUUCCAUUCCACCUGAAACAUGAUUUGAACAGAGAGUAGGGGGGCACCCCUCACCUAGAAGCCAUUGACUGCUCCAGACACUAAACAAUCCAGGAGUGUACCUGAGCCUUUUCGUCUGCUCCAUCUGAGAGUUAUCAGCAUUCUGUGUCAGUGCAUGGCUGCAAUGCAGAAGGUGGCAGUGCAUUCACUCUUAUUAAUAUGCUGAAAAUAUUUGCUUCCUGACAUCUGUCAUUUUGCAUAACUGUGAACACAAACCAUAGACACCAUCUGGGAUGUCAGGGCAAAGGGAAGUGUGGCUGUUUGAAAUUCCUUUCCAAUUUAAUUUCACAGUUUUAAAGAGCCCUGUUUUUCUUCCAUGAUAAUUAUAGGGAAAAUAAUUAACUAUUAUCCUCUGAGUGAUAAAAUUACUACAAAUUAAGAAACAGUUAUGAAUAUAAUUUACAAAUAAUUAUGUGAUAGCAGUAUGAAAGUGCAAGACUAAUGGAACAAAAUUAAUUAAAGCUAUUGAGAGAUAAUCUUUUCUAUUUAUUUGUUUUGGUUCCUCGAGGGCAGACUGUCCCAAAAUGACUUACAACAGCUACAAUUAUAAUUCAGAGGGAUAUCUGAAGAAUGUGCUCACAAGUGUGUAUGGUAAAUAUGUUGGGUUUCAUUGCCAGUGGCACACAGCUAGAAGUCUCAGCAGGACCUCCAGAGAAACAGAGCUGUCUUAAUACAAAGU
Molecule: long non-coding RNA, 810 nt
Filed under: Homo sapiens (human)
Lineage: Eukaryota; Metazoa; Chordata; Mammalia; Primates; Hominidae
Description: HSALNT0081776
Source: RNAcentral